RNAcentral lists this transfer RNA (63 nucleotides) under Huananpotamon koatenense. RNAcentral describes it as "tRNA-Phe". Lineage: Eukaryota; Metazoa; Arthropoda; Malacostraca; Decapoda; Potamidae. The record is from RNAcentral.
GUUUAUAUAAUUUAUAAAGAAUAUUGUGUUGAAGUUACAAAAGAGAUAUAAUGUCUAUAGACA